UGUUUUAGUCUAGUUAGGGGAACCUGUUUUUUAAACGAUACAACACGCAUUAUUUUACUUAUUUUAGUUAAUCAGCUUGUAUACCGUCAUUAUAAGAUAAUUUAUGAGAAAAUAUUAUUGAGAUCAUAUUAUUGAAUAUAUUAGAUCAAGGUGCAGCUUAUAAGUAAGUAAAUAUGGGUUACAAUAAAAUUUAUUUAAUAUGAAUUAAGUAUUUAAAUAUAUUUAUGAAGGAGGAUUUAAUUGUAAGAAGAGGAGUAGUGAGAUUUUCUGAUAUAAGCUCUAAAUUAU
RNAcentral lists this ribosomal RNA (288 nucleotides) under Procambarus fallax (deceitful crayfish). RNAcentral's name for it is "partial 12S ribosomal RNA". Lineage: Eukaryota; Metazoa; Arthropoda; Malacostraca; Decapoda; Cambaridae. The record is from RNAcentral.